CCUACGGGAGGCUGCAGUGAGGAAUAUUGGUCAAUGGACGAGAGUCUGAACCAGCCAAGUAGCGUGAAGGAUGACUGCCCUAUGGGUUGUAAACUUCUUUUAUAUGGGAAUAAAACGUUCCACGUGUGGGAUUUUGUAUGUACCAUAUGAAUAAGGAUCGGCUAACUCCGUGCCAGCAGCCGCGGUAAUACGGAGGAUCCGAGCGUUAUCCGGAUUUAUUGGGUUUAAAGGGAGCGUAGGUGGAUUGUUAAGUCAGUUGUGAAAGUUUGCGGCUCAACCGUGAAAUUGCAGUUGAAACUGGCAGUCUUGAGUACAGUAGAGGUGGGCGGAAUUCGUGGUGUAGCGGUGAAAUGCUUAGAUAUCACGAAGAACUCCGAUUGCGAAGGCAGUUCACUGGACUGCAACUGACACUGAGGCUCGAAAGUGUGGGUAUCAAACAGGAUUAGAUACCCGGGUAGUC
This 460-nucleotide ribosomal RNA is filed under the name uncultured bacterium. RNAcentral's name for it is "partial 16S ribosomal RNA". It matches the Rfam family "Bacterial small subunit ribosomal RNA", at positions 338 to 795 of the family's 1533-position model. The record is from RNAcentral.